AUUGAACGCUGGCGGCAGGCCUAACACAUGCAAGUCGAGCGGAUGAAGGGAGCUUGCUCCUGGAUUCAGCGGCGGACGGGUGAGUCCUGCCUAGGAAUUCGCCUGGUCUUGGGGGAUAACGUCCUGAAACGGGCGCUUAUACCCCAUACGUCCUGUGGGAGACAGUGGGUGAUCCUCGGAUCGCACGCUUUCUUAUGAGCAUAGGUCCGAUCCGCUAGUUGGAGGGGUAACUGCCUACCAAGGCGACGAUCCGUAACUGGUCUGAGAGGAUGAUCAGUCACACUGGCACUGAGACACGGUCCAGACUCCUACGGGAGGAAGCAGUCGAGAAUAUUGGACGAUGGGCGAAAGCCUGAUCCAGCCAUGCCGCGUGUGUGAAGAAGGUCUUCGGAUGGGAAAGCGCUUAAGGUUGGGGGGAAGGGCAGUAAGUUAAUACCUUACUGUUUUGACAUUACCAACAGAAUAAGCACCGGCUAACUUCGUG
Molecule: ribosomal RNA, 484 nt
Filed under: uncultured bacterium
Lineage: Bacteria
Description: partial 16S ribosomal RNA
Rfam family: Bacterial small subunit ribosomal RNA
Source: RNAcentral